CCCGACUGCUAUCGGAUUGAGAUUUAGCCAUGCGAGUCGAACGUCUCCCUGUUGCGGGGGGCGUGGCGUACGGCUCAGUAACACGUAGUCAACCUGCCCUGGAGACGCGGACAACCCCGGGAAACUGGGAUUAAUCCGUGAUAGGUCAUCUCAUCUGGAAGGAGAGAUGGCUUAAAGGGGCGCGCGGGCUUCUUCUGCGCGUUCACUCCAGGAUGGGACUGCGUCCGAUCAGGCUGUUGGCGGGGUAAUGGCCCACCAAACCUGUAACCGGUACGGGCCUUGAGAGAGGUGGCCCGGAGAUGGACACUGAGAGAAGGGUCCAGGUCCUACGGGGCGCAGCAGGCGCGAAACCUUCGCAAUGCGCGAAAGCGUGACGAGGUUAAUCCGAGUGGUCUCCGCUGAGGAGACCUUUUGUCAGCUGUAAAUAGGCGGGCGAAUAAGGGGAGGGCA
This 450-nucleotide ribosomal RNA is filed under the name uncultured archaeon. Its description in RNAcentral is "bacterial SSU rRNA". It matches the Rfam family "Archaeal small subunit ribosomal RNA", at positions 24 to 448 of the family's 1478-position model. The record is from RNAcentral.